RNAcentral lists this long non-coding RNA (389 nucleotides) under Erythranthe guttata (spotted monkey flower). RNAcentral's name for it is "long non-coding RNA (EGUT_LNC000748)". Lineage: Eukaryota; Viridiplantae; Streptophyta; Magnoliopsida; Lamiales; Phrymaceae. The record is from RNAcentral.
UGCUAUGACGAGUGAAAUGUUUUGGGGGCGAUGUGACCCCUAGGGAGUCGAUAACCCUUGGCGAACGAAAUAUUUUGGGAGCAGAUGUAAGCCCCCAGGGAGUCGAUAACCCUUGGCGAACGAAAUAUUUUGGGGGCGAUGUAAGCCCCCAGGGAGUCGAUAACCCUUGGCGAGCGAAAUAUUUUGGGGGCAUAUGUAAGCCCCCAGGGAGUCGAUAACCCUUGGCGAACGAAAUAUUUUGGGGGCGAUGUAAGCCCCCAGGGAGUCGAUAACCCUUGGCGAGCGAAAUAUUUUGGGGGCGAUGUAAGCCCCCAGGGAGUCGAUAACCCUUGGCGAGCGAAAUAUUUUGGGGGCAUAUGUAAGCCCCCAGGGAGUCGAUAACCCUUGGC